This 484-nucleotide ribosomal RNA is filed under the name uncultured bacterium. RNAcentral describes it as "partial 16S ribosomal RNA". It matches the Rfam family "Bacterial small subunit ribosomal RNA", at positions 30 to 507 of the family's 1533-position model. The record is from RNAcentral.
AUUGAACGCUGGCGGCAGGCCUAACACAUGCAAGUCGAGCGGAUGAAGGGAGCUUGCUCCUGGAUUCAGCGGCGGACGGGUGAGUAAUGCCUAGGAAUCUGCCUGGUAGUGGGGGAUAACGUCCGGAAACGGGCGCUAAUACCGCAUACGUCCUGAGGGAGAAAGUGGGGGAUCUUCGGACCUCACGCUAUCAGAUGAGCCUAGGUCGGAUUAGCUAGUUGGUGGGGUAAAGGCCUACCAAGGCGACGAUCCGUAACUGGUCUGAGAGGAUGAUCAGUCACACUGGAACGGAGACACGGACCAGACUCCUACGGGAGGCAGCAGUGGGGAAUAUUGGACAAUGGGCGAAAGCCUGAUCCAGCCAUGCCGCGUGUGUGAAGAAGGUCUUCGGAUUGUAAAGCACUUUAAGUUGGGAGGAAGGGCAGUAAGUUAAUACCUUGCUGUUUUGACGUUACCAACAGAAUAAGCACCGGCUAACUUCGUG